CAGCAUGGAGUCUGGAGCCCCUGCUUCGCAUCCACCACGAUUUCUGCAAAACCGAGCUGUGGGCUGAAAACACUUGCCCAGAGGCUCCCCAGGGAGGGGCCUGCGUCCAUCAGUGUGGGAGGCCACGGGAUUGCCAUCCCGAGCCCUGGACCAGAGAAGCCCCACGCUACCUUCUGACCUUGUCCCCUCUCCACACUGUGAAGCUCCAGCAUCCCUGUGUACCUCUAGCUCGUAGAAAGCCUCUCAGUAUGUUGCCUGGACUGAUCUUGAGCUCCUGCGUUCAAGCAACCCCGGUCCUCCUGCAUCAGCCUCCGGAGUAACCCGGAAUAGAGGCAAAUGGCCACCA
Long non-coding RNA from Jaculus jaculus (lesser Egyptian jerboa), 346 nucleotides. RefSeq lists it as uncharacterized. NCBI's taxonomy places the organism in Eukaryota, Metazoa, Chordata, Mammalia, Rodentia, Dipodidae. The record is from RefSeq and is a predicted model, not a curated record. The transcript is spliced from 2 exons.